This 2602-nucleotide long non-coding RNA is filed under the name Marmota monax (woodchuck). Lineage: Eukaryota; Metazoa; Chordata; Mammalia; Rodentia; Sciuridae. The record is from RNAcentral.
CAUCUCUCUCUCCUCUAGGCCUUUGCAAGCUCAGCACCUCCUGCUGGGCACAACUUCCUUGCUCUCCUCACCUGGUUAGAUCUCAUCCUUCAGGAGUCUCACCUUGUUCACUCCUUCCCACAGGUUCUCAGGACUUACCUUGGUCAGGGCAAGCACUGCACUGUUUGCCCUGUUGGUGUCCUGGCCGCCCAGGGUCUGUGUGUUUUAUCCCCAGAGCCCAGCAGUGAAUGAAGGACCAAGUGAAUGAGUGAUGAGUGGAAAAUCCAAUUUGCCCUGGUAUCAUGCACCCUGGGAUGGGGAACUGGAGGUGGGGAGCAGCUGAGUGGACCUGUUAACCUCCCCAUAGGUACUGAGUAAAUGCAUGCCUUCUUCUUCAGUGAUCAAAUACUUUAAGGUUUUUUUAUAACUAAGUUAUAACACUCUCACAUCUCAAACUACUUUGCCCAAGCCUAGCAGGUGGUGUUGGGAGCAGGCUUUGGAAGCAGUGGAAGGACUAGGGCGGGUGGGGGGGUUCUACCUUUACCAAAGGCUGAUACCCAGGGUCUUAAUCUUCUAUCUGCCUGGUGAAGUAGCAACACUGUAACUCCAUUUUACUGAUGAGGAGACUGAGUUGGGAAGUUGCCAGCUCACAUUUAUAAGGCUAUAAAGUGGUAGAGACAGGAUUCUGAGCCAAGAUUUCACAUUCUGGGCUCCGUGAUACCUCCCAGCCCCUCUGUCUCAGAAGCAUUUGUAAAAAGGGAUUGAGAAUUAUGAAUUUCUGUAAAAAAAUGUUUCUCUGUUCUCUCAUUUAUAUUGUUUUGUUGUUUCUGACUUGGGCAGAUAGCUUGGACCGUUGUUGGACACCAGUUCGACUUGCUGGGAAACCCAUUCAUCUUGGCCUUUCAGAGAAAAUCUUCAAUAGAAUUUAUUUGCAAGGCAAAUUAUGAAGAUUUCAGGAUUUGCCCUCAAAUUCCUCUCCCAGGCUGCUCUUUAAAUAUUUCCCAAUCCAAAAGAGACCGCAGUUAUUUUAGAUUUCUAUCUUUUAAAACCCGAAUUCACCACUCUCGCUUAGUUUUACAAGAACAUGUCUUCAAGAUAAGCUACAGUGAGGCAGGAUAGGUCUCUCACUCGGCCUGCAAAUCUGAAUCUGGUUAAUGACUGACAUUGAACUCAAUAAUCAGUGAGGAUGAUUUCAGAACACUUGGCUUUGUUUUAAAGGGCAAGAUUUUGGAAGCAGCCUCCCAGGACUCCAUCCAGAUCCAGUUUCCUGAAACAUAACUGGGGGUUUCUGCCCAGGCUCCAGGUGAGAGCAGAGAGCAGGAGAGGGCACACUGGCUUCCCAUGUGCCUGGCCCUGGGGUCAAGAGCACUGCAGGACUCCAGGAGCCAGAACCCCACAGCACAACGGCCUUUGGAUGCCUCUUCCUGUCCUGGAAGGGAAAGAGGAGGCCCCUUUCCAACCCAGGUUGAGGCUGGCAAAGGUCUUCAGAGCAGGAGGGAGUUGGAGACCACCAUAGCCUCCCGAUCAUCCCUGUACCCCUGCAUUUGCUGAGCCUGCUGACGGCUCUGCAGCUCGCCAGCCCACAUAGAAGCCUGAAAUACAUGCAACUCUGCGAGGCGUAUUUCUCACCCACACCAGUGUUCACUGUGGUUGUGAAGGAUCCUGCGUCAGCUACACAUCAGACCCAAGUGGGUCUUGACACACUGCCUGAAUUUUCCAUGUCCUCUUUGGAGACAAAGCAUAUCUUUGGCUUGGUGAAUAACUCCUGAUUAUUGGUCUUUUUCCAUUUUGUGUUAUGCUUUGGAAACUCAAAAAGUGUAGUCAAAGUAUGUGUACCUGCAUUUAUGUCAGAGAUUUUAAAAAAAUACACCUCUGAUUUUUGUGAAGAGAAAAAAAUAGGGGGGUGGGGUGGGGAUAAGCUUUAGACAAGGAAAAUAAUGUUUUUCUGUACCAAGUGCUGCUUUCACAUGGGAGGUAUCAUAAUGCUAUAAUUUAUGUAGUGGUUACAGUGUUGUGUGCUAUUCUAAUGGCUUAGUGUGCUUAUCAUAUCACUGACUCUUCCUGGCAAUCCCAGCAGAUGGGAUCUCUUUUUAUCCCUUCUCCAUUUCACAGAUGAUGAAACUGAGGCACUGAGAAAUUACUUGCCAAAAGGUACACAGCAAACAUGACAUGGGGACCAGAAGGUAUCCAAGUAUUUAAGAAAAAAUACUGAAGAUUGAACUCCAAGCCCUUUUAAAUUUUUUGAAUACAUACACAUAUAUGAUUUUUUUGCCAUUUUUUUACUAGUACAUUAUAGUUGUAUGUAAUAGUGAGAUUUGUUGUUAACAUAUUUGUACAUGCACACAAUAAAAUAAUCUAAUUUGGCCAAUAUCAUUCCCCAGUAUUAACACUUUCCUUCCCCUUCUGCCUCCCUCUGGUCCCUUUCCUCUACUCCACUGAUCUCCCUUCACUUUGCAUGAGAUCUGCCCCUUUCUUUUUCCUUUCUAGCCCCCACAUCUGAGAGAAAACACAGGACCUUUGACUUUCUGAGUUUGGCUCAUUUCACUUAACAUAAUGUUCUCAAGUUGCAUCCAUUUUCCUGUAUAUGACAUAGUUUUCAUUUUUCUUUGUGGCUGAAUAAAAC